This 324-nucleotide ribosomal RNA is filed under the name uncultured bacterium. RNAcentral describes it as "bacterial SSU rRNA". It matches the Rfam family "Bacterial small subunit ribosomal RNA", at positions 28 to 334 of the family's 1533-position model. The record is from RNAcentral.
GAUGAACGCUGGCGGCGUGCUUAACACAUGCAAGUCGAACGGAGAGCCAAUGACGGAGUUUUCGGACAACGGAUUUGGUUUCUUAGUGGCGGACGGGUGAGUAACGCGUGAGCAACCUGCCUUGGAGUGGGGAAUAACAGCUGGAAACAGUUGCUAAUACCGCAUAAUGCAGCGAGGGGACAUCCUCUUGCUGCCAAAGAUUUAUCGCUCUGAGAUGGACUCGCGUCUGAUUAGCUGGUUGGCGGGGUAACGGCCCACCAAGGCGACGAUCAGUAGCCGACCUGAGAGGGUGAUCGGCCACAUUGGGACUGAGACACGGCCCAA